CCUANGGGUGGCUGCAGUGGGGAAUAUUGGACAAUGGGCGCAAGCCUGAUCCAGCAAUGCCGCGUGUGUGAAGAAGGCCUGCGGGUUGUAAAGCACUUUUAUCGGGAAAGAAAAGCUUAGGGCUAAUACCUCUAAGCCUUGACGGUACCCGAUGAAUAAGCACCGGCUAACUCCGUGCCAGCAGCCGCGGUAAUACGGAGGGUGCAAGCGUUAAUCGGAAUUACUGGGUGUAAAGGGUGCUCAGGUGGAUUUGUAAGUCAGAGGUGAAACUCCGGAGCUUAACUCCGGAACUGCCUUUGAUACUGCAAGUCUCGAGUUUGAGAGAGGGCAAUGGAAUAUCUGGUGUAGCAGUGAAAUGCGUAGAUAUCAGAUAGAACACCAAUGGCGAAGGCAGUUGCCUGGCUCAAUACUGACACUAAAGCACGAAAGUGUGGGGAGCAAACAGGAUUAGAUACCCUUNUANUC
This 465-nucleotide ribosomal RNA is filed under the name uncultured bacterium. Its description in RNAcentral is "bacterial SSU rRNA". It matches the Rfam family "Bacterial small subunit ribosomal RNA", at positions 338 to 795 of the family's 1533-position model. The record is from RNAcentral.